CCUCCUUCACCUUCUUCAGUUGCCUCAUCACCCAUGAUUCUUCAUGCUGAUUAUCUCCUUUCUGUCGGUUCAGAAGAUGCCUAUUUUCAUAGUCAUUGUUUUGAUGCCAUUUGAAGGAGAAGAGCUGAAAGCAAUAGCUGUAGACCUCUCUCCUUCAUAAUCAUGCCCUCCUUGUUCAUGCUCCAUUAUUGGUGAAUAGGAAGUGGCCAUUACACGCGCACACACACACACACACAGAGACAGAGG
Molecule: unclassified non-coding RNA, 246 nt
Filed under: Hevea brasiliensis (rubber tree)
Lineage: Eukaryota; Viridiplantae; Streptophyta; Magnoliopsida; Malpighiales; Euphorbiaceae
Source: RNAcentral